AUCUCCUAGGCUCCAGUGAUCCUCCUGCCUCAGCCUCCCAAAGUGCUGGGAUUACAAGCAUGAGCUACUACAUCUGUCCAAAAGCUGCAUUUCCAAGACCAGGUUUUGGCAGUUACAGGUUGCAGGGUUCUCUGGGCCCAUCCAGGAGAUGAGAGAAAAAGAAAACUCAGGGCCUUGUACAGCGUCACCCCCAAAGUCCCGAGGUUCCUGGACAGCCUUUCUUCCUCUACACUUCCUAGAGUCCUCUUAUGUCUGUUAAAUUUUUUCCAGGGUGUCUAGUUGUAUUUAGAGGGCAGAUGCCACCUCGUCAUAGAAUGCCAGGGUCCACUCUCCAGGCAUUUGGAACGAGUUGCCACGAGGUCCUCGGGAGGGUGUGACAGUUCACACGCCCACCAGCAGCUUUCCACGUCUCCAUUUCCUCUGCCCCUGACAGCAUCUAAUGUUAUGAUUUUUGUUUGUAAAUUUGGCUUUUGGUUCCUUUAUGAGGGGAUUAAUUAAUACAGGCUGCUGGCUCCUUCCCACGAAUCCAAACCUUGGAGAUGCCAUCAAAGGGAUGACAGUUGAUGGAGCCCAGAACCUAAGAGGACCCCUGAGAGCCUUGCGGAGGCUGGGCAAACGUGGUGGAGUCUGGGACAGGAGGGGAAUCACAGUCUGAGUGGAGGAGGCCACACAGCACAACCGGGGCCAGACUGCAGCUCUCUGCUCCGGGGCCCACCUGGGGCUGUCAUCUGCCAGCCCUGCUUUCCUGUAGAAGAUCCCACCCGUACCAGCCCCAGGAAUCUAGGCAAGGCCAGAGCACCUCAGGAGCCUCCUGGAGUGAGGGCCACGACACCUGGGCAGGCUGGCUGGUGGCCCCUGGGCAGCCUUCCUCCCCAGCCCAAGGACAGCCAAUUACAGCACAGGGCAGCCCUGGACAGACAGCACCAGCUAGAAGGACAGGGGCGUUCCCUGCAGACCAGAGCAGCCCCCGGGGAUGAGCAAAGAGGGCCCCAGUCAUCCUGCCAGAGGCUCUGCCCCCAGGAGCCCCUGCCUGCCUCCCUGAAGCCCACAAGGAAGGUGUCAACUGGGGCCUAAGACGAAGGCAGUUGACCAUACCCAGGGAACAGAGAGCGGCCUGAGGAAACGAGACAGCGAGGGGAGUGAACUCCGGGAGGGAAAAACCCCAAGGUUUUUCCUUGGAGGAGGGAGCAGAUGAGCGGAUAAGACCGGUAAAUCCGUCACAUACCCUCAGGACGCAGGGAGAGCGCGGCUGGAAUUGGCAGUUAUGCAGAAGAUGCAGCCGGGAAUACUGGACUGGAACAUGCGGGCGCUUAAGUGAUGAACUUGGUGGGAAGGUUGGAGACCAGAAAAUGAAUGAGUGAGGCAGGUCAGGCUCUGAGCUCUUCUAGAAGGAGCUGAAGGGGUUGAGGAGGCAGAGGUGAGGGAGGAAAAAUAUUCAGUGCUUAAAAGAGGAAAAAUGAAUAGAUAAGAGGAAGUAUCUGAAAAAUGAUUAGGAAAUUUCCCCAAUUAAGAAAAGAUGCACAUCCUCAAACUGAAAGGGCCUGCAGAGUGUUAAUUACAUUUUAAAGUUAAAAUCUUAUGUGUACUUUCAAAGAAAAGCAUCUACAUUUUGAGUCAAAAUUGCUAAAAACUUCCAAAGAGAAAAAGCAGGUAACCCGCACAGGAACGGGAGUGGUGCUGACAUUAGAAUCGCGGCACAGACAACGGAUGCAAGAAGAAAGGGAGUGACAGCUUCAGACGCGAGAGGAAAGGACCCUGGAACCCAGGGCUGUGUCCUGCUCACCGCCAUGAAAUAUGGGCACGCAGGAAGCCAUCCUCAGUCCUAUCAGCCCCCUUGAGAGUCAACCCCAGAAACACUCUUGGAGAAAUAUUUCAGCAAGAAAAAGGAACCGGGGAGGAUGCUGCCAGGUCUAGGGAGGAGUGAUGCUUCCCCAGCGUGGAUGGUUCACUGCCAUCUAAGUAAGCAAUGACCUCCGCGUGUGCCGCACAGUCCAGCUUCCUCAGAGGCGGUGGUGGCCUGGUGGAGGAAUGUGGGCUGGCUGGGAGGCCACAGAGAAUUACUGUUUCCAUUAAAAGGAAAUGUGUUCUGGCCGGGAGCCCUGGCUCACACUGUAAUCCCAGCAUUUUGAGAGGCUCAGGCGGGUGGAUCGCUUGAGGUCAGGAGUCUGAGACCAGCCUGGCCAACCUGGUAAAACCCCGUCUCUGCUAAAAAUACAAAACUUAGCUGGGCGUGGUGGCGGGCGCCUGUAAUCCCAGCACUUUGGAAGGCAGAGGCGGGCGGAUCACUUGAGGCUAGGAGUUCGAGACCAGACUGACCAACAUGGGGAAACCCCAUGUCUACUAAAAAUACAAAAAUUAGCCUGGCAUGGGGGCACAUGCCUGUAGUCCCAGCUACUCGGGAGGCUGAGGCAGGAGAAUCGCUUGAACCCGGGAGGUGGAUGUUGCAGUGAGCCGAGAUUACACCACUGCACUCCAGCCUGGGCAACAGAGCAAGACCCUGCCUAAAAAAAGAAAAAAAGUGUCACAUGGAGACGUGUGUCUGUUUGGGACUGUUUUCCAGCCUUUCCACACUCUUCCCCUCCCCAUCUGUCCCUCCAUCUCCACCAAGCUGUGUUUUGAUGUUGUGUUUGCAUGAUUUGGUGUAUCUGGCAUUUUAACAUUUCAUCCUUGCCACUAUUUAUUAUUUUCUGUUUCUUCGUAGUAGCCACUAAAUAUCAGGUGAUAUCUCAUUGUGGUUUUGAUUUGCAUUUAUCUAAUAAUUAGUGAUAUUUAGUGUCUUUUCAUAUGCUCAUUGGCCA
Molecule: long non-coding RNA, 2798 nt
Filed under: Homo sapiens (human)
Lineage: Eukaryota; Metazoa; Chordata; Mammalia; Primates; Hominidae
Description: HSALNT0217139
Source: RNAcentral